Long non-coding RNA from Thalassophryne amazonica, 267 nucleotides. RefSeq lists it as uncharacterized. The transcript has 3 exons. The record is from RefSeq and is a predicted model, not a curated record. NCBI's taxonomy places the organism in Eukaryota, Metazoa, Chordata, Actinopteri, Batrachoidiformes, Batrachoididae.
AUGUAUAUAUAUAUAUAUAUAUAUAUCCUUAGUAACAGAGAACGGAAAGGGAACGUUAGACUUUGGUUCUCUAAAGGUUAGGUUAUAACCAAACCAAAAGCUACCACUUAAAAAUGUUCCCUUUGGUUACAGAAAAAAACAAACAAAGGCUAACGUUCCUUGAACUUUUAGGGAACCACCCAUAUGAAACGUUAGCCAGUAGUUACACUGCUACCACCCCACAACGUUAUGCUUAGUUGUUUUUCGGUUGUUUUGAGAACCAGUGCU